This 127-nucleotide non-coding RNA is filed under the name Karenia brevis. Lineage: Eukaryota; Dinophyceae; Gymnodiniales; Kareniaceae. The record is from RNAcentral.
AGUUCAAUGCGAAAGCUCACUGAGGAACUUGAUGCUCAGAUACUUUCACGACGGGGAAAGUCUGAGAAUGUUGAGGGCCGCUCCACCUCCGGCCCUCCCACGAACAGGCAGGCAAGCUGGGACGACA